Non-coding RNA from Sus scrofa (pig), 46 nucleotides. The record is from Rfam. NCBI's taxonomy places the organism in Eukaryota, Metazoa, Chordata, Mammalia, Artiodactyla, Suidae.
UACAUGGCUUUUUUAAAAGCCACCAGGGAUACGAAUGAGUUGGCUU